Molecule: long non-coding RNA, 422 nt
Organism: Vombatus ursinus (common wombat)
Lineage: Eukaryota; Metazoa; Chordata; Mammalia; Diprotodontia; Vombatidae
Exons: 2
Source: RefSeq, a predicted model, not a curated record
GGCCUGGUGGGGCAAAUGCAGGUACCAAAGGAGACAGCAAAGUCCUUCCCCAGACUGCUGGGUCCACAUCUGCAGCAUUCUGGAGAACUCCCUGCUUCCCCCUUUCACUCUGGCUUAGAGGCAAGCAAUUCCCUAUUUGGGUUGGAAGGCAACUAGAUGUGAUCCUGAGAUUACAAAGCUCCUGCUUGUUAGAAUGGCCAGCACCUGACCCAUGAAAGGUAAAGACUGUGUUAUAUCCACUUGCCACCAUUGCCUCUCAGGAUUUCAUCUCAAAUAUAUCCCUUCAUUCUGAAGCUGGAAUUCAAGAGUCUCCCCCAAAGAUCUUUGUUGGUUUAUUUUUCAGAUUAGUGGUAUGGUAACAUGACAAACACAUUCUUGACACUGGUAAAAAUUACAUUUGACCUGUGUGUCAACACAACUUA